GAGUAACACGUAUGACAACCUACCUUUAACAGGGGAAUAACCCGUUGAAAAACGGACUAAUACUCCAUAACACAGGGGUCCCGCAUGGGAAUAUUUGUUAAAGAUUAAUCGGUUGAAGAUGGGCAUGCGUUCCAUUAGCUUGUUGGUGAGGUAACGGCUCACCAAGGCCACGAUGGAUAGGGGGAACUGAGAGGUUUAUCCCCCACACUGGAACUGAGACACGGUCCAGACUCCUACGGGAGGCAGCAGUGAGGAAUAUUGGUCAAUGGAGGCAACUCUGAACCAGCCAAGUCGCGUGAAAGGAUGAAGGUCUUAUGGAUUGUAAACUUCUUUUGCAAGGGAAUAAAGUGGGGGACGUGUCCUCCUUUCGCUAUGUACCUUGCGAAUAAGGAUCGGCUAACUCCGUGCCAGCCGCAGC
RNAcentral lists this ribosomal RNA (418 nucleotides) under uncultured bacterium. RNAcentral's name for it is "bacterial SSU rRNA". It matches the Rfam family "Bacterial small subunit ribosomal RNA", at positions 108 to 518 of the family's 1533-position model. The record is from RNAcentral.